GAUGAAGAACGUAGCGAAAUGCGAUAAGUAAAGUGAAUUGCAGAAUUCAGUGAAUCAUCGAAUCUUUGAACGCACAUUGCGCCCCUUGGUAUUCCGAGGGGCAUGCCUGUUCGAGCGUCAUUAUAACCCCUCAAGCUCAGCUUGGUGUUGGGGCCUGCUGCACUGGCAGCCCUUAAAAUCAGUGGCGGCGCCAUCUGGCUCUAAGCGUAGUAAUUCUUCUCGCUAUGGAGUCCUGGUGGAUGCUUGCCAUCAACCCCCAAUUUUUCUAUGGUUGACCUCGGAUCAGGUAGGGAUACCCGCUGAACUUAAGCAUAUCAAUAAGCGGAGGA
Molecule: unclassified non-coding RNA, 329 nt
Filed under: soil metagenome
Description: partial contains 5.8S ribosomal RNA, internal transcribed spacer 2, and large subunit ribosomal RNA
Rfam family: 5.8S ribosomal RNA (bases 1-120)
Source: RNAcentral